GACAGCGUGGUGCAGUGGUUUGAACGUUGCAUUAGGACUCUGCAAUCCAGGGUUCAAACCCCACUGGGUGACC
Molecule: non-coding RNA, 73 nt
Organism: Phrynosoma platyrhinos (Desert horned lizard)
Lineage: Eukaryota; Metazoa; Chordata; Lepidosauria; Squamata; Phrynosomatidae
Source: the annotation of a GenBank genome assembly